GCCAGUGUGGUAUAGUAAUUUGAAUGGUGGACUAUGACUCUGGAGACCAGGGUUCGACUCCCAGCUCAGCCA
Molecule: non-coding RNA, 72 nt
Organism: Phrynosoma platyrhinos (Desert horned lizard)
Lineage: Eukaryota; Metazoa; Chordata; Lepidosauria; Squamata; Phrynosomatidae
Source: the annotation of a GenBank genome assembly